GUGCUUGCUUUGGUAGCACAUAUACUAAAAUUGGAACGAUACAGAGAUUAGCAUGGCUCCUGCUCGAAGGUGGCACAAAAAUUUGUGAAGAUUUCCGUAUUUUU
Molecule: small nuclear RNA, 104 nt
Organism: Nomascus leucogenys (northern white-cheeked gibbon)
Lineage: Eukaryota; Metazoa; Chordata; Mammalia; Primates; Hylobatidae
Source: Ensembl